UUCAACAUGGUGAGACUCAGAAGCUCCCCCAGGUGUGCUGCUCCAACUCCCGGUGCCUUUCCCUGCCUGGUGGCCAACACCAAGCCCAGGGAAGAGAGUUGGGAGUAACCAGCCCAGGGUGUGGGAGAGCUGUUACCUGGCUUCUAAGCUGCCCGCAGUGACUAAGCAGCUGAAAAUGAAAAUAGCAGCUGAAAAUGUCGCCACCCACCUCCCGAACUUUCCAAGAAAAAGAAAAAGAAGGAAACAUUGGCCCAGGAAAAUGCUGCCUGUGAGCAAAAUGAAGAAGCAACAGUUUAUUUGUGCCAGAGAUGAGGCUUCCCUUGAAAUCAGUGUCGCUCAUGACUAUCUUUGUUUGAAGGUCCCUGGUUGGGUCUUCAUGGAUUAAAGCCCAUGUGAUUCCA
Molecule: non-coding RNA, 401 nt
Organism: Heterocephalus glaber (naked mole-rat)
Lineage: Eukaryota; Metazoa; Chordata; Mammalia; Rodentia; Bathyergidae
Source: RefSeq, a predicted model, not a curated record